Molecule: long non-coding RNA, 481 nt
Organism: Alexandromys fortis (reed vole)
Lineage: Eukaryota; Metazoa; Chordata; Mammalia; Rodentia; Cricetidae
Exons: 3
Source: RefSeq, a predicted model, not a curated record
CUGGAAGCUCUGCAGACAGCCCACGCCACCCAGGCGCUGGCCGCUCUCCCUCAGGAACAGACUGUUGCCGUGGCUGCUCAUCGUGUCUCUGCCAGGACAGAAGAGACCAUGUCUGCCUCCUCCUUCACUGAGAUCAUCUCAAGGAAUUGGAAAGUACCGCAGCUGUCAAACCAAAGGACCAUGCCUUUGCUGAAUGCUGAUUGCAUGAAGAGCUAAUGAAAGGGCCCCUAUAGGCUAGUCCUCCUAGCCACAAUAGUUGAGCCUCCGGUCUGAAGACGCCCAUAGUCGACUUUUCACAGGGACAAAUUCAGCAAGCGCCUGGUACUUUCGUGCUACAGUGGCAACGGUGAGUUGCUGAAAUAGAGAUCAGAAAACAAACUAUUUACCAAAGUGGCUAUGACUUUACAAAAGUGGGGGCAGAGAGGACAAGACGGCUUGUUGGGUAAAGAGGAUUGUUGCCAAGCUGGAUGGCCUCAAUUCA